Molecule: small nuclear RNA, 151 nt
Organism: Salvia splendens (bonfire salvia)
Lineage: Eukaryota; Viridiplantae; Streptophyta; Magnoliopsida; Lamiales; Lamiaceae
Product: U4 spliceosomal RNA
Exons: 1
Source: RefSeq, a predicted model, not a curated record
AUCUUUGCGCUUGGGGCAAUGACGCAGCUAGUGAGGUUCUAACCGAAGCGCGUCAAUUGCUGGUUUGGAUUCGGCCCAUUCUUGUAAAUAGCUUGUUCCUUAGUUAUAGUAAUACUACUAGUUAAAGGAAUAAUUGUGUUUAAAAUAAUAA